AUUGAACGCUGGCGGCAGGCCUAACACAUGCAAGUCGAGCGAGCGGCGGACGGGUGAGUAAUGUAUGGGCAUAUGCCCGAUGGAGGGGGAUAACUACUGGAAACUGUGGCUAAUACCGCAUACUAUCGGAUGAACCCAGAUGGGAUUUGCUAGUAGGUGGGGUAAAGGCUCACCUAGGCGACGAUCCCUAGCUGGUCUGAGAGGAUGACCAGCCACACUGGAACUGAGACACGGCCCAGACUCCUACGGGAGGCAGCAGUGGGGAAUAUUGCACAAUGGGCGCAAGCCUGAUGCAGCCAUGCCGCGUGUAUGAAGAAGGCCUUCGGGUUGUAAAGUACUUUCAGCGGGGAGGCGUUACCCGCAGAAGAAGCACCGGCUAACUCCGUGCCAGCCGCCGCGGUAAUUC
RNAcentral lists this ribosomal RNA (406 nucleotides) under uncultured bacterium. Its description in RNAcentral is "partial 16S ribosomal RNA". It matches the Rfam family "Bacterial small subunit ribosomal RNA", at positions 30 to 526 of the family's 1533-position model. The record is from RNAcentral.